This is a non-coding RNA of Corylus avellana, 4830 nucleotides long. The record is from RefSeq and is a predicted model, not a curated record. Lineage: Eukaryota; Viridiplantae; Streptophyta; Magnoliopsida; Fagales; Betulaceae.
UGUUGCGUCAGAAUGUAAGGCUGCAAGUCUAAAUGACAAACAACAUCUUCAUACUUUGAAUAUACGGUGGAAUAUAUGGUGGAGUACUAAAGGAGAUGUCGAUAAUUCGGAUGUUGUUGAGGAUGAAGCGUCAUUGAAUGGCUUCCAACCACACCCAAAUUUGAAAAUUCUUUUCUUAGAAUACUAUCGGGGUUCAAAGCUUCCGAGUUGGAUUUCGUUAAUCACAAAUCUUGUUAGAUUUCGAUUAGAGUCUUGUCGGAAAAUCCAAUAUCUACCACAAUUGAGUCAACUGCCUUUCCUCAAGGAGCUUUUUCUUUUAAAGUUGGAGGCUAUUGAGUACAUAUCAGACGACGGUGAUAGAAAUGAGUUAUUUUCUUCUUCAACGACACCAACACCAUUUUUUCCAUCCCUCAAGUAUAUCGCGCUCUCUUAUUGCCCUAAUCUGAAAGGGUGGUGGAGGAGGAGAGAUUCUUCUGUGGAGGUAAAUAGUGAUAGUGAUAGUGAUAAUUCCGUUGAAAUAACGGAGCAUUGUUUACUCCCUUCCUUUCCUCGUCUUUCAAAAUUAAACAUCCGCAAUUGCCCUAUGUUGACUUCCAUGCCAAUGUUUCCACAUCUUGAAGAAGAGUUGGUCCUUGACAAUAUUGCUAGCUCAAAGCCACUGCAACAGACAAUGAUGAUGAAUAUGGCAGCACUUCAAAGCCCAACGUCAACAGCAACAGAUUCCUCUUCAUUCACUCCUCUCUCAAAAUUGAAGAAUAUAAAAUUGGGUUCCAUUACCGAUCUAGAAACUUUGCCACUGCAAAAUCUCACUUCUCUUGAGUCUUUGAAGAUAUGGAGUUGCCAUAUAUUAAAGCCUCUCUCCCUAGGUAUACAACAUCUCACUGCCCUUCAAUUCCUAGAUAUUGCGGAUUGUCCAGAUCUUGAGCUAGCCAAUGAUGAGGAUGGGAUGCAAUGGCAAGGCCUUACGAGCCUCUUCUCCCUUUCCUUCUCAUACCUUCCAAAUUUGGUGUCCCUUCCCUCGGGGCUUCAAUGUGCUACCACUCUACAAAAGCUUCAGAUUAUAUCUUGUGAAAGCUUGACGGCUAUACCAGAGUGGAUCCACAACUGCAAAUCACUCCAAGUGCUUCAAAUUGGUGGAUGCUCCAGAUUGGCAUCACUACCCGAAGGAAUGCGUAGGCUAACGUCUUUGCAGAAUCUAACAAUUAGGGAUUGUCCCAUCCUAUUGCAAAGAUGCAAGAGAGACACAGGUGAGGAUUGGGACAAGAUUGCUCACAUUCCAGAGUUAGACUUACAGUAUCCGCCAAUCACCAUAAAAACUGAAAGGUCCACCUUCGACAGCUUCCACACCUUCAGAGGCAGUAGCCACAACGAUGCACAAACGAAAACAGGGGAUUCUAAGCUUAUUGAACAAAGAUGGAUGUAUAUGUGAUUCUUCACAUUUUAGGAGAAAUAGUUGAGUGAAAACUGGCUCUUGGUGAACUCGAGCAAAUACUUUGCGGAAGAUCCAAUCUGUAAACAACACUCCGAGAACUACCUUGUUGCACUGGUGGUUUAUUGUUGGAGCUCCUAACAGCACAAUCUGUUUUUCAUCUACAGAUAUAGGUUUCGUUCCUCACAGCUUUUGGUACCUAUACGAGGGAGAUGAGGUGAACAUGACUCUGGGUCUCUGGCUAAGUUUGAGGCUAAAAUACUCCACGAGAAGAUUUCAGAGAAGGCUUACAAUCAGGAUUUGGGCUACAAGGAGCAAAGCGCAGAUCAAUACUGCUCUGAACCAUAUAAAAAUGAAUUCUGAAAUGACAUCAACAAGGGUUGUUGAUAUGAUGUACCUGGAUGCUUCAGAAAAAAAACUGGCAAUUAGUGAAAUCGGAUUAAGUAUUGUGGCGAGGGUCAAUUCUGGUAACUAAAUGUUAUUACAGGGUAGUCUGCCUUGGUUUAAGACCAUAAGUUGAUGUUCAAGAGCUUCUUAUUUUUGUCUUGUUAGAAGCUUUUACAGCAAAAUCUAUCAUACAUCUUCAGGUAUAAGCAAUUGGUUUUCACUUUUAACAGAUGAUCCAUUAUAACGUUAGAGAUCCAUUGACUAUUAUUACUAGCAAUAUAUAUGGACAGCGUAUUAGUGAAAGCCUUUCGUUGGUGAAGCUAUUCUUUCCAUAUAUAUUAGAAACACCAGUUGAUGCCUUUGCUGCUCUAUAUAUCUUAAUAAUAUGAAAUUUGUAGUUUCUCGUGCCUGUGCCAAAAGGAUGAAGAGGGGUAGAGUAGUGCAGGAUUCUGACGAUGAAGCAUAGGAAAAACAGAGGGGGCUAAUAUAUGUCUUAUACAGGGAAUUCAAAAUAGUUGUUUACAAUGUACUUCGUGUUUGUAAUUGACAAUGUACUUAAUGGAUAAUACUUAAUGAGAAUGGGAAAAAGUAAUAUGAAAGGAGUAGGAAAAAAAAUUCUAUUUAUAUCUGAAUCCCCAUUUGUUAUGGAUGUCAAAAAGUUGUUGCAAUAUGCUAGAAAUAUCAUUUAUUUUGUUUUAUUUCAUCGUUUCUGAUAGCUUUUUUUGUAAGAACUUAAGGACUGCUACCUAACUUUAAGGAUAGCUUUAAUUUCAAGAACCCAGCUACCUAACAUUGAAAUAUUGCAAAUGAAUAUGUCGUUAAUUUAUCUCAUUAUACUUGUUUUGCUUGUAAAACAAAUUGUCAAUUAUUUUCAUCUUUAUGUUUUUCCAACUGUAACCAUUUUAAUCAUAAAGAAUUACUAGACAUGUGAAUUAAUCAUUUCAACGAAUUUGUGAAGUUCUUAUUUUCUUUUUCUGAAGUCCAAACAAGGAAUAGAAUAAGUUGGUGAUAAAGGCCUUGAGUUGAUGGAUUAAGAAGAUGAGUGGUUGAUAUAGCUUACUACAAAGAAUAAGCAAUUGGUAAUUUAAUGAAUCAUAUUAGACUUAUUAGCUGUUUUUGCAGAGAAAUAUGUGAUUACUCAAUUGAGAUGGCUUUUAAGGACUAAGAAUUUUAAAGGUAGCAUUUGGUAAGUGCUUCAACUAUAUAAGCAUGAUAUUACUUUCAUCUUUGAAGUGAUCUUACUUUUUAAGGAAGCUUAGCACACCACAAAGUUGUAAUCUAGCCAUGGACACUUAGAUAUAUGACAUUUAUGAAAAAUCAUAAAAAUCCUGAAUUUUGUUGUCUGAAGCAUAGGCUUCUUGUUGACUUGUCAGAAAGCUCUUCAACUGAUUCUAAAAUUAAAAUUCAAACAAUAGUAGCUUUCCGAUGGGGGAGGGGAAGACCAAAUGGCCAUAUUACUAAUUAUAUCAUCUACCACUCAUCGUGUAAUACUACUCUUUAAGGCUGAAAACACUAUAGGUGUUGUUUUGGACAUUUUAACUACAUAAUUAAGCAUGUAAUUCAUUAAAUUAAACAUAUAAUAGUUGGAGACUGAAAAAAUGUUUGUCCUAAUUGACGCCAGGUAAUUUACUUUCCAAAUAAGAUGACAAGAGUCAGCUGUAUCAUAUGUUGGAACUGUGCAAUGGCCACCUCUACAAUUUCAAAGGGACUUCCAUUUUUGUCAUAGUGGAAGAUUAAGGGACGAAGGUUUGCUAGGAGGGUGAAGGAAACGAAGCACAACAAGAUUCAUCACAAAUCUAGCUUUAAUAUGAUUAUGUGCCCAGUGCCCACUGUGUUCGACAAAUUUAGUGCUAAUGUCGUGGUUGGUUGAUGGUAGCACAGCUAACCUUGGAAUAUGGGUCACUGCUGGACAGGAGGAUUAUAACAGGCUGAGGCCUUUGAGUUACAGAGGUGCAGAUGUUUUCUUAUUGCCUUCUCUCUCAUCAGCAAACCCUGCUAGGAAAAUAUCUCCAACAAGUGAAUCCCCUCAACUGUGCCAAUAGUGAAUCCCUCCAGAUUGGCAUCACUCCCCGAAGGAAUGUGUAGGCUAACGUCUUUGCAGAGGGUAACAAUUGUGUAUUGUCCUAUCUUAUUGCAAAGACACAAGAGACACACAGGUGAGGAUUGGCCCAAGAUCGCUCACAUUCUAGAGUUAGGCUUACGGUGUCCGACUCAGCAAGAAGAAAAUUUAAUCACCCAUGCAGGUUCGACUGAUUCAGGUUGACGUAGAUGCUUAUGGCAUACAACAAAUUCAAGGGCUUCCCAUUUUCCAGUUUUAAAAGCAGAGGAACCAGUUGAAGCAUAGAAGAAACAUUGGAUGGAGAUUCCAAGCUUAUUCAAAAUCCAGGGCACUGCAAUUUGGAAAAUAUGUGAUUACUCGAUUGAUUUCUUGUAGCAUUUUUGUCAGAGUAGAGAAUUAAGGAUUAUGUGCCCACUGUGUUCAACAACUUUAGUGCUAAUGAACAUGGUUGAUGCUUUAUGGGACACUGCUGGACAGGAGGAUUAUAACCAGAAGUUUUCUUGUUGGCCUUCUCUCUCAUCAGCAAAGCCAGCUAUGAAAAUAUCUCCAACAAGACUGGAAGUUCCAGUGAAUCCCCCCAACUGUGCCAAUAGUGCUAGUAGGAACCAAACUUGAUUUACAGGAAGACGAGUGGUAUUUGAUUGGUCAUCCUGGCGCUACAUCAGUGAUCUUGCAGUUGGCUUGUAUGGAAAUGAGGACUCACAGUAGUUGCCUGUCCAGAUUUUAGUCAUUUCAAAUUCAUUCAGACCUGAAUUUUCAGUUUGAUUUUUUUAUUUUGAUCAUUUUCUAAGUUUUUGGGUAUCUUCUUAACUUUGACUCGUUCAUAAUUCUUGUUUGCUUUACACUUUUGGUAUAUCCAUUAUCAUGAGGUGAGCUGAAAAGGAUUCUAUACUUGAAAUACAUUUUGUGUAAUUCAAAUUUCACAAUGAGCAAAUUUUCUUGAAAGUUUUAUUUU